UUUAUGACGGUGACGUUCUAC
RNAcentral lists this microRNA (21 nucleotides) under Marchantia polymorpha subsp. ruderalis. Lineage: Eukaryota; Viridiplantae; Streptophyta; Marchantiopsida; Marchantiales; Marchantiaceae. The record is from RNAcentral.